This 73-nucleotide transfer RNA is filed under the name Ovis aries (sheep). It matches the Rfam family "tRNA". Rfam says of the family: Transfer RNA (tRNA) molecules are approximately 80 nucleotides in length. Their secondary structure includes four short double-helical elements and three loops (D, anti-codon, and T loops). The record is from Rfam by way of RNAcentral. Lineage: Eukaryota; Metazoa; Chordata; Mammalia; Artiodactyla; Bovidae.
UCCCUGGUGGCUCAGAGGUUAAAAGCAUUUGCCUGCAAUGCAGGAGACCCGGGUUCGAUACCUGGGUGGGGAA